This 857-nucleotide ribosomal RNA is filed under the name uncultured bacterium. Its description in RNAcentral is "bacterial SSU rRNA". It matches the Rfam family "Bacterial small subunit ribosomal RNA", at positions 62 to 882 of the family's 1533-position model. The record is from RNAcentral.
UCGAACGAGUUCUCGUUGAUGAUCGGUGCUUGCACCGAGAUUCAACAUGGAACGAGUGGCGGACGGGUGAGUAACACGUGGGUAACCUGCCCUUAAGUGGGGGAUAACAUUUGGAAACAGAUGCUAAUACCGCAUAGAUCCAAGAACCGCAUGGUUCUUGGCUGAAAGAUGGCGUAAGCUAUCGCUUUUGGAUGGACCCGCGGCGUAUUAGCUAGUUGGUGAGGUAAUGGCUCACCAAGGCGAUGAUACGUAGCCGAACUGAGAGGUUGAUCGGCCACAUUGGGACUGAGACACGGCCCAAACUCCUACGGGAGGCAGCAGUAGGGAAUCUUCCACAAUGGACGCAAGUCUGAUGGAGCAACGCCGCGUGAGUGAAGAAGGCUUUCGGGUCGUAAAACUCUGUUGUUGGAGAAGAAUGGUCGGCAGAGUAACUGUUGUCGGCGUGACGGUAUCCAACCAGAAAGCCACGGCUAACUACGUGCCAGCAGCCGCGGUAAUACGUAGGUGGCAAGCGUUAUCCGGAUUUAUUGGGCGUAAAGCGAGCGCAGGCGGUUUUUUAAGUCUGAUGUGAAAGCCCUCGGCUUAACCGAGGAAGCGCAUCGGAAACUGGGAAACUUGAGUGCAGAAGAGGACAGUGGAACUCCAUGUGUAGCGGUGAAAUGCGUAGAUAUAUGGAAGAACACCAGUGGCGAAGGCGGCUGUCUGGUCUGUAACUGACGCUGAGGCUCGAAAGCAUGGGUAGCGAACAGGAUUAGAUACCCUGGUAGUCCAUGCCGUAAACGAUGAAUGCUAGGUGUUGGAGGGUUUCCGCCCUUCAGUGCCGCAGCUAACGCAUUAAGCAUUCCGCCUGGGGAGUA